GACGAACGCUGGAGGCGUGCUUAACACAUGCAAGUCGAGCGGUAAGGCCCUUUCGGGGGUACGACGAGCGGCGAACGGGUGAGUAACACGUGGGUGACCUGCCCUCAGCUCUGGGAUAAGCCUGGGAAACCGGGUCUAAUACUGGAUAUGACUCCAUGACGCAUGUUGUGGGGUGGAAAGCCUUGUGCGGCUGAGGAUGGGCCCGCGGCCUAUCAGCUUGUUGGUGGGGUGANGGCCUACCAAGGCGACGACGGGUAGCCGGCCUGAGAGGGCGACCGGCCACACUGGGACUGAGACACGGCCCAGACUCCUACGGGAGGCAGCAGUGGGGAAUCUUGCGCAAUGGGCGAAAGCCUGACGCAGCGACGCCGCGUGAGGGAUGACGGCCUGGUUGUAACGU
RNAcentral lists this ribosomal RNA (400 nucleotides) under uncultured bacterium. RNAcentral describes it as "bacterial SSU rRNA". It matches the Rfam family "Bacterial small subunit ribosomal RNA", at positions 28 to 431 of the family's 1533-position model. The record is from RNAcentral.